UACGUAGGGGGCAAGCGUUGUCCGGAAUCAUUGGGCGUAAAGAGCGCGUAGGCGGCCCUGUAAGUCCGCUGUGAAAGUCAAGGGCUCAACCCUUGGAUGCCGGUGGAUACUGCAGGGCUAGAGUCCGGAAGAGGCGAGUGGAAUUCCCAGUGUAGCGGUGAAAUGCGUAGAUAUUGGGAGGAACACCGGUGGCGAAGGCGGCCCCCUGGACCGGUACUGACGCUGAGGCGCGAAAGCGUGGGUAGCAAACGGG
Molecule: ribosomal RNA, 253 nt
Filed under: uncultured bacterium
Lineage: Bacteria
Description: partial 16S ribosomal RNA
Rfam family: Bacterial small subunit ribosomal RNA
Source: RNAcentral